GCAUUGGUGUUCAGUGGUAGAAUUCCUACCUUUUAUGCAGGUGACCUGGGUUCAGUCCUGGCCAACGCA
This 69-nucleotide transfer RNA is filed under the name Loxodonta africana (African savanna elephant). It matches the Rfam family "tRNA". From Rfam's summary of the family: Transfer RNA (tRNA) molecules are approximately 80 nucleotides in length. The record is from Rfam by way of RNAcentral. Lineage: Eukaryota; Metazoa; Chordata; Mammalia; Proboscidea; Elephantidae.